Molecule: long non-coding RNA, 823 nt
Filed under: Equus asinus (donkey)
Lineage: Eukaryota; Metazoa; Chordata; Mammalia; Perissodactyla; Equidae
Description: lncRNA (ENSEASG00005026795.1)
Source: RNAcentral
AAAGAAUUGAAAAAGAGGUAGUUAGCAAUUGGUUAACAGGUGGUUAACCAGACUGAGCUGGCUCCAGGGAGGACCACAGGCAGGCUUCUUGCUGGAGGCAGCUGCUCUGGAAAGUGGGAAAAACACUGAAGGCCACAGGAUCUGCAUGAAGAAUGCAUUAUGCAUUUUAUCUAUCUUACCAGACGGCCUCAACUCUACUGGUAGAACACUGAAACAUUUAUCUUUUCCUUCAUCCUCUCUCCUGUUCUGCAGUACGCUUGCACCAGCAGGUAAAAGGAAUCUCUCACAGAACCAAAGAACAUGAGAAGGAUUCAACUCAUCGUUGCUGGCUCUGAAGAUGGUGGAAGGGGCAAUGAGCCAAGGAAUGUGGACAGUCUUUAGAAACUAGAAUAAGCAAGAAGAUGGAUUCUCCCUUAGAGCUUCCAGAGAGAAACUCAGCACUGCCAACGACUCUGUUUUAGCUGAAUGAGAACCGCGUCUGGCUUCUGACCUGCAGAACUAUAAGAUAAUGACUUUGUGUUGUUUUAAAUGACUACCUUUGUGAUAAUUUGUUAGGAUAGUAACAGAAGACUAACACAUAAGGCUUAACUAUUUUCAAUUAAAGCACUUACAGAAUUUGAGAGUAGGCAGCCUCAUGGGGAAGACCUCAGAACAGAAACCUCUAUAAGAAAAGAAAAGAAGGGCCUGCCCAGUGGUGCAGUGGUUAAGUGUACACGUUCCGCUUCUCGGUGGCCUGGUGUGCGCUGGUUCAGAUCCCGGGUGCAGACAUGGCACUGCUUGGCAAAAGCCAUGCUGUGGUAGGCGUCCCACAUAUAAAGUAGAG